This 287-nucleotide ribosomal RNA is filed under the name uncultured bacterium. RNAcentral's name for it is "partial 16S ribosomal RNA". It matches the Rfam family "Bacterial small subunit ribosomal RNA", at positions 28 to 308 of the family's 1533-position model. The record is from RNAcentral.
GAUGAACGCUAGCGGCAGGCUUAAUACAUGCAAGUCGUGGGGCAGCAUGGGGUAGCAAUACCCUGAUGGCGACCGGCAAACGGGUGCGGAACACGUACGCAACCUUCCUUUAACUGGAGAAUAGCCCCUCGAAACGAGGGAGUUAAUACUCCGUAAUAUCCCGAUAUGGCAUCAUGACGGGAUUAUAGCUCCGGCGGUUAGAGAUGGGCGUGCGCCUGAUUAGGUAGUUGGCGGGGAAGUGGCCCACCAAGCCUUCGAUCAGUAACUGGUGUGAGAGCACGACCAGU